Molecule: ribosomal RNA, 652 nt
Filed under: uncultured fungus
Lineage: Eukaryota; Fungi
Description: eukaryotic LSU rRNA
Rfam family: 5.8S ribosomal RNA (bases 286-439)
Source: RNAcentral
GGUUUUUCGUAAAGGUAUGUUUUCUCCUCCCCUCCAUCUCCUCGCCACGAUAUACUAACGUAAUUAUAGUGAACCUGCGGAAGGAUCAUUAAUGAGUAAGGGUCUCGACUUAUACAGAGCCCGACCUCCAACCCUUUGUCUACCUUACCAAUGUUGCUUCGGCGAGCCCGCUUUUCACGAGGCCGCCGGAGGGUCGUCACACGCCCUCUGGUCAGUGCUCGCCGGUGGCCCCAACUAAAACUCUUGUUAAGAACCUGUCUGAGUAUUAAAAAACAAAUAAGUAAAAACUUUCAACAACGGAUCUCUUGGUUCUGGCAUCGAUGAAGAACGCAGCGAAAUGCGAUAAGUAAUGUGAAUUGCAGAAUUCAGUGAAUCAUCGAAUCUUUGAACGCACAUUGCGCCCUUUGGCAUUCCGAAGGGCAUGCCUGUUCGAGCGUCAUUACACCAAUCACGCCUGGCGUGGAUGGGGGCGACGGGGCCCCACCGCCCCGCGCCCCAAAGACCCCGGCGAGACGGACCGAAUCUCAGCGUUGUGGAAACAGGCCGCUGGCGAGACGGGACGGCUGCGCCGCUAAACACCCCCCAUCACAGGUUGACCUCGGAUCACGUAGGGAUACCCGCUGAACUUAAGCAUAUCAUAAAGCGGGAGGAA